RNAcentral lists this transfer RNA (64 nucleotides) under Sycophila sp. 2 JXW-2020. Its description in RNAcentral is "tRNA-Arg". The record is from RNAcentral. Lineage: Eukaryota; Metazoa; Arthropoda; Insecta; Hymenoptera; Eurytomidae.
UUAAAUGUAGUUUAUUUAAAACUUUCAAUUUCGACUUGAAUAAAAAUUUAAAAAUUUAUUUAAU